UUCCGGUUGAUCCUGCCGGAGGUCACUGCUAUCGGGGUUCGAUUAAGCCAUGCGAGUUGAGAGGGUUUAGACCCUCAGCGGACUGCUCAGUAACACGUGGAUAACCUGCCCUAUGGUGGAGAAUAACCCCGGGAAACUGGGGAUAAUACUCCAUAGAUUAGAGAUACUGGAAUGUUCUUUAAUCGAAAGUUGAGGCGCCAUAGGAUGGAUCUGCGGUCGAUUAGGUUGUUGUUGGGGUAACGGCCCAACAAGCCUGUGAUCGAUACGGGUUGUGGGAGCAAGAGCCCGGAGAUGGAAUCUGAGACACGAUUCCAGGCCCUACGGGGCGCAGCAGGCGCGAAAACUUUACAAUGCAGGAAACUGUGAUAAGGGAACCCCGAGUGCCCGUAUACGCGGGCUGUCCAGGUGUCUAAAAAGCAUCUGAAGAAAGGGCCGGGCAGGACCGGUGCCAGCCGCCGCGGUAAUACCGGCGGCUCGAGUGGUGGCCACUAUUAUUGGGCUUAAAGCGUCCGUAGCUGGACUCUUAAGUCUCUUGGGAAAUCCGCCGGCUUAACCGACGGGCGUCUAAGAGAUACUGAGAGUCUAGGGACCGGGAGAGGUGAGAGGUACUCCAGGGGUAGGAGUGAAAUCCUGUAAUCCCCGGGGGACCACCGAUGGCGAAGGCAUCUCACCAGAACGGCUCCGACAGUGAGGGACGAAAGCUGGGGGAGCGAA
Molecule: ribosomal RNA, 714 nt
Filed under: uncultured archaeon
Lineage: Archaea
Description: bacterial SSU rRNA
Rfam family: Archaeal small subunit ribosomal RNA
Source: RNAcentral